RNAcentral lists this ribosomal RNA (765 nucleotides) under uncultured eukaryote. RNAcentral's name for it is "bacterial SSU rRNA". It matches the Rfam family "Bacterial small subunit ribosomal RNA", at positions 676 to 1459 of the family's 1533-position model. The record is from RNAcentral.
UAGCGGUGAAAUGCGUAGAUAUUGGGAAGAACACUAAACAGCGAAGGCACUUUACUAGGCUAAUACUGACGCUGAGAAACGAAAGGUAAGGUAGCGAAACGGAUUAGAUACCCGUGUAGUCUUACCCGUAAACUAUGGACACUAAACGGUAAAUUUUUAAUUUACUGUUAAAGCUAACGCGUUAAGUGUCCCGCCUGGGGAGUAUGCUUGCAAAAGUGAAACUCAAAGGAAUUGACGGGGGCCCGCACAAGCGGUGGAGCAUGUGGUUUAAUUCGACGGUACACGAAGAACCUUACCAGGAUUUGACAUGCUAGAUAGUUGCUUGAAAGAGUAACGUGCCGUAAGGAAUCUAGACACAGGUGGUGCAUGGCUGUCGUCAGUUCGUGUUGUGAAAUGUUGGGUUAAGUCCCGCAACGAACGCAACCCUUGUCUUUAGUUAUUUUCUAAAGAGACUGCCUGUAAUAAACAGGAGGAAGGUAAGGAUGAGGUCAAGUCAUCAUGCCCCUUAUGUCCUGGGCUACACACGUGCUACAAUGGGAAAGACGAUGAGCUGCAAAUCUGUAAAUUUAAGCAGAUCUCUUAAACUUUCUCGUAGUUCGGAUUGUGGGCUGCAACUCGCCCACAUGAAGUUGGAAUCGCUAGUAAUCGCCAGUCAGCUAUAUGGCGGUGAAUCCGUUCCCGGGCCUUGCACACACCGCCCGUCACACCAUGGGAGCUGUUAACUCCUAAAGUCGUAUUUUCAACUUACAAAGAGAAAAAUGCCUA